RNAcentral lists this ribosomal RNA (853 nucleotides) under Beauveria bassiana. RNAcentral's name for it is "partial large subunit ribosomal RNA". It matches the Rfam family "Eukaryotic large subunit ribosomal RNA", at positions 56 to 941 of the family's 3401-position model. The record is from RNAcentral. Lineage: Eukaryota; Fungi; Ascomycota; Sordariomycetes; Hypocreales; Cordycipitaceae.
GAGAAAGAACCACCAGGGAUUGCCCCAGUAACGGCGAGUGAAGCGGCAACAGCUCAAAUUUGAAAUCUGGCUCUCAGGGCCCGAGUUGUAAUUUGUAGAGGAUGCUUUUGGCGAGGUGCCUUCCGAGUUCCCUGGAACGGGACGCCACAGAGGGUGAGAGCCCCGUAUGGUCGGACACCGAGCCUCUGUAAAGCUCCUUCGACGAGUCGAGUAGUUUGGGAAUGCUGCUCAAAAUGGGAGGUAUAUGUCUUCUAAAGCUAAAUAUUGGCCAGAGACCGAUAGCGCACAAGUAGAGUGAUCGAAAGAUGAAAAGCACUUUGAAAAGAGGGUUAAAAAGUACGUGAAAUUGUUGAAAGGGAAGCGCCUAUGACCAGACUUGCGCCCGGUGAAUCACCCAGCGUUCUCGCUGGUGCACUUUGCCGGGCACAGGCCAGCAUCAGUUCAGCGCGGGGGAGAAAGGCUUCGGGAAUGUGGCUCCCUCGGGAGUGUUAUAGCCCGCUGCGUAAUGCCCUGCGCCGGACUGAGGUACGCGCAUUGCAAGGAUGCUGGCGUAAUGGUCAUCAGCGACCCGUCUUGAAACACGGACCAAGGAGUCGUCUUCGUAUGCGAGUGUUCGGGUGUCAAACCCCUACGCGUAAUGAAAGUGAACGUAGGUGAGAGCUUCGGCGCAUCACCGACCGAUCCUGAUGUUCUCGGAUGGAUUUGAGUAAGAGCAUACGGGGCCGGACCCGAAAGAAGGUGAACUAUGCCUGUAUAGGGUGAAGCCAGAGGAAACUCUGGUGGAGGCUCGCAGCGGUUCUGACGUGCGAAUCGAUCGUCAAUAUGGGCAUGGGGGGCGAAAGACUAAUCGACC